Molecule: long non-coding RNA, 1305 nt
Organism: Drosophila simulans
Lineage: Eukaryota; Metazoa; Arthropoda; Insecta; Diptera; Drosophilidae
Exons: 4
Source: RefSeq, a predicted model, not a curated record
AGUUAGUUUAAAUUAGUUUGGCUCUAACAUUAGUAGUGCAAUACAAUACAACUCCCUGUAGGCCCUGCGAUUGCACAUUUUUUAUGUGAUGCAUAAUGCAUUUCCGGAGCUCCCUAUCUCCCCCAUAUUGUGGACUAGACGAGGCCUAGGCUUUGACUUUGGCUUUGAUUACAACUGCAAUUGGACUAGUUGGAGUGGCUUGGGAUUAUAUUGCAACUCAUAUUUUUUACCCACUCUGCAGUGACAUAUUUCCCGCUUAUCGCUCAACUUUCCCAGACUUUCUCAUAGGUCAUCAGAUAUGAUUGCAAAAUAUUUGUUGAAUGUCUAGGUGGAAAUUUCGAUAGCUACUCGCAUUACCAGCGCUUUUUGUCACCCCGCUUUCCUCAGUCGUCGUGUCAACAAAUUUCAGUGGAUGGCGCUAUUUAAAUGCCUUAUCAUCAGCGUAACUUCAUCCCAACCUCCACAGAUCUCUUGGUCAUUUCCGUUACUCGUUAAACGAUAAGCUCGAAGUCCAAUUAAAAUUCAUCAAUUUUUGAGACGUACUUAGGCCUUAUCACGCCAAUAAAUGCAAACAGAUCUGCUGGCAAGGUGUCAAUUUAAAAAAAUGUUUAAUGCGCAAAAAAGCUGUGAAUGAAUCGAGAUUAAACAAUAUACUCGUAUUACAACAGUUACGGAUCGGAGAUGGAAUGACGGGGCCCCUUUCGGAGAUCCCACUCAGUCACUCACAGCGGCAACUGAUUAAUUAUAGUGAGCACUUGUGUGUAGUACUAUAUUGCAUGAUAAAGAGAGAGCAUAAAGUAAAAAUUAUAAUCAUAAAGGGCAGAUCGUCUUCGCUGUCCCAGCUGCUGGGUCAAGUUCAAGGACAAGCUAUCAGCAAUAAUAAGUGGAAAUGAAUGGAGAGGAGGAAGCUGAAAUGUGGUAAUCUUUGGGCAGACCGCGCCCUUUGUAGAUCAUUGGGUCACUAUGUGUGCAGAUGCGUCCCUCAGAGUCACUUUACCGCUUGCAACUGGAACAAAGUGAAAACAUUGCGAAAAAAGAAGAAUACUGAGCAUAAGAGCCCCUGAAGGCUGUCUUCUUCAGAAGAUCCCCGAUUACCGAGCCAUGAUUCUCCGGCCACUUGCGAAGAAAGGAGGCAGAAAUGAAUUUGCAGCUCGUGGGUAAUCAAGUGAGGCACUCGCACACACUUGCAACCUGCAACGAUGCCACUUGUUCGCUCACUCAGACAGCGUGGAGCUUCCAUUGUGAAUGGUUUUGUUUUUGUCCGGGGCUCCUGUUACCCUUCCAUAGGAACUGACCAUAUGACAG